CCUUUACAGGGAGACCUAACUUCAGGAAUGAAGGUAGACCAAAUUUAGUCUACAAAUACUUCUCAACAAUAAACUGAAGUCAUCCCAGGUCGAGCGAAGCAAUAUAGACAACGGCUUUCAAACUACGAUAGGGUUCGUUAAUGCAAGGAAGAAAUUCAGCAAGAGAUGGAAAUCCAACUGCUGGAUGAAUAUCCAGUCAGAACCUUGAAAACUGCAUAGAGUCAAAAAGUCAGGUCAGUCUGUAAAAGCAGACAAGGUCAAGCUAGAAAGGGCUAACGGUGAAUACCUAGGCACACAGAGGCGAAG
This 306-nucleotide unclassified non-coding RNA is filed under the name Neolyngbya maris-brasilis ALCB 114380. RNAcentral describes it as "partial 16S-23S ribosomal RNA intergenic spacer". Lineage: Bacteria; Bacillati; Cyanobacteriota; Cyanophyceae; Oscillatoriales; Sirenicapillariaceae. The record is from RNAcentral.